This 260-nucleotide long non-coding RNA is filed under the name Elaeis guineensis (African oil palm). RNAcentral's name for it is "long non-coding RNA (EGUI_LNC079112)". Lineage: Eukaryota; Viridiplantae; Streptophyta; Magnoliopsida; Arecales; Arecaceae. The record is from RNAcentral.
UUCUCCAAGGCUGUGCAUAAAAAAGAAGAUCCUUCUUCUUCCUUUUCUUUCUCUUAUUGGGAAAAACUUUUCUACUUCAAUUUUCUACUGUAAAACCAACAAAAAGAGCCCUCUUUGAUGUCCAAGAACCAGUAGCAAAAGCUCUCAAAAAUUUUUUUCAAGAGGGGAGGAGAAGAGGGGUUGGCAUCAUGUGGAAUUAGGGCAUCCAACUCUUGGACGCCCCUCCUUAUUUUUGGCGAUAAGAAAAAGAGGAGGGACGC